CCUACGGGUGGCUGCAGUGGGGAAUAUUGCGCAAUGGGCGAAAGCCUGACGCAGCGACGCCGCGUGAGGGAUGAAGGUCUUCGGAUCGUAAACCUCUGUCAGCAGGGAAGAACGGUCACUGUGCUAAUCAGCAGUGAAUUGACGGUACCUGCAAAGGAAGCACCGGCUAACUACGUGCCAGCAGCGGCGGUAAGACGUAGGGAGCGAGCGUUGUCCGUAUUUACUGGGUGUGAAGGGAGUGUAGGCGGGUCUGCAAGUUGGGUGUCAAAACUACCGGCUCAACUGGUAGUCGCACUCAAAACUGGAGAUCUUGAGUGAAGUAGAGGCAGGCGGAAUUCCUAGUGUAGCGGUGAAAUGCGUAGAUAUUAGGAGGAACACCAGUGGCGAAGGCGGCCUGCUGGGCUUUUACUGACGCUGAGGCUCGAAAGUGUGGGGAGCAAACAGGAUUAGAUACCCUUGUAGUC
Molecule: ribosomal RNA, 464 nt
Filed under: uncultured bacterium
Lineage: Bacteria
Description: partial 16S ribosomal RNA
Rfam family: Bacterial small subunit ribosomal RNA
Source: RNAcentral